This 78-nucleotide microRNA precursor is filed under the name Schistosoma margrebowiei. RNAcentral describes it as "mir-3492 microRNA precursor family". It matches the Rfam family "mir-3492 microRNA precursor family". The record is from Rfam by way of RNAcentral. Lineage: Eukaryota; Metazoa; Platyhelminthes; Trematoda; Strigeidida; Schistosomatidae.
AGCCUUCUGUAUCCGUGCUGAGAUUUUGUCACACACUAAACCACAAGUGCUGAUGAGACUUCCCACACACGCUCAAUU